RNAcentral lists this unclassified non-coding RNA (282 nucleotides) under fungal sp. Its description in RNAcentral is "partial internal transcribed spacer region". The stretch from base 1 to 46 matches the Rfam family "Eukaryotic small subunit ribosomal RNA", at positions 1786 to 1831 of the family's 1831-position model. The record is from RNAcentral. Lineage: Eukaryota; Fungi.
AAGUCGUAACAAGGUCUCCGUUGGUGAACCAGCGGAGGGAUCAUUACCGAGUCACGUGCUCAAACAACCCUUCUGUGGACCUAAAUUUAAAUCGUUGCCUCGGCGGGCGGUCCCCUGUCAAAACCCACGUGGUGCAGGCAGGGGACCAGACAGCCCGGUACGCUUAAGGCGUCCGGCGCCAGCCGCUGGCCCCAAACAAUUAAACUCUAGUAACCUUACCUUCUGAGUUUUAAUACAAAAACAAAUAAGUCAAAACUUUCAACAACGGAUCUCUUGGCUCUG